This 1464-nucleotide ribosomal RNA is filed under the name Triticum aestivum (bread wheat). Its description in RNAcentral is "partial small subunit ribosomal RNA". The record is from RNAcentral. Lineage: Eukaryota; Viridiplantae; Streptophyta; Magnoliopsida; Poales; Poaceae.
AUGAAUAAGUUCAGACACACAAUCAGCAAGCUGGGUUUGCAUGACAUGCCUCUGGUGGGUAGAAAAUUCACUUGGUGUAAUGGGCAGGAACGAACCAUUAUGGCCAAAUUGGACAGAGUUCUGUUCAAUAACGACUGGGAAGACUUAUUUCCAAUCAGUGACCUGCUGCCCUUGAGUUCAAAUGUUUCGGAUCACUGUCCAAUGCUCCUAUCCUGCUCCUCGGGCAGUAUGAGGGCCUUCAGAUUCAGGUUCGAAAAUUUUUGGUGCAAAUUAACAGGGUUCCAGGAAGUAGUUAAAGAGGCUUGGGAAGAGGAGGUAGCCAGUUCGAACCCAAUGCAUGUCCUGAGUACUAAACUCCAACACACUGCUAAAGCAUUACGAAGCUGGGGUCAGAGGAAACAUAGUCCCAUGAAUCUGCAGUUCCACAUAGCUAACAAGAUCAUUAUCAGACUGGACACAGCGCAAGAGUCGAGAGUGUUAUCGUCUGAGGAGAGAAAGCUCAAGGGCUUUUUGAAAGGUAAAUGCUUGGCCUUGGCAUCCUUGGAGAGAGUUAGGUUAAGGCAAAGGGCAAAAAUCAGAGAUUUGAAGGAAGGAGAUGCAAACUCGAAAUACUUUCAUCUCAAAGCAAACGGGCGCAGAAGGAAGCAUCUUAUACCUUGCCUGCUAUCUGGGGAGCGCUUGGCUGCAUCCAUGGAAGAAAAAUUAAGUCUGGCUCAUGAGUUCUUUAAGGAAUCGAUCGGAACGCCGGCGGCGAGGCACAAGGUUAUUGACUUGGAGAAGUUGGGCCUUGGCAAGAUUUCGGAGAGCUCGUCUAGGGAGCUGGAGGCUCCUUUCUCUAGAGAGGAGAUAAAGAAGGUGCUGGAUGAUAUGCCGUCUGACAGGGCUCCUGGGCCCGAUGGUUUCUCUGGGCUGUUCUACAAGUCUUGUUGGGAUACCAUCAUGGACGACUUUAUGGCAGCCAUGGAGCACUUCUCCUCCUUCAGUGGGCUGAACACGUCAAUCAUCACGCUUUUGCCAAAAAAGGAGGGAUCGAUGCAGAUAACAGAUUUUAGGCCUAUAAACCUUAUACAUGGUGUGGCAAAGAUCUUUGCGAAGGUGUUGGCAACUCGCUUGGCCUUGCUUCUCCCAAGUAUUAUAUCCAGAGCUCAGAGUGCCUUUGUCACUAAGAGAUCUAUUCAUGAGAAUUUCAAAUUUGUCCGGAAUGCGGCCAGAGCUCUGCACCAGAAGAAGAAACCAUCUGUGCUCAUGAAGAUAGAUAUUUCAAAGGCCUUUGAUUCCUUGUCCUGGGAAUUCCUCUUGGAGAUCUUGAAGAUCAGAGGUUUUGGAUAUAAAUGGUGUUCCUGGAUCUGCGGCCUGCUGAGCUCAGCCUCAUCGUCGGUGCUCAUCAAUGGGGAGACCAGCAACCAAUUCGCUCUGGGGAAGGGAGUUAGGCAAGGCGAUCCCAUUUCGCCGACCCUAUUCUAG